UACGGAGGAUGCAAGCGUUAUCCGGAUUUAUUGGGUUUAAAGGGUGCGCAGGCGGACGAUUAAGUCAGUGGUGAAAUGCAACAGCUUAACUGUUGAACUGCCAUUGAUACUGAUUAUCUAGAGUACAGACGACGUUGGCGGAAUGCGACAUGUAGCGGUGAAAUGCUUAGAGAUGUCGCAGAACACCGAUUGCGAAGGCAGCUAACGAGGAUGUAACUGACGCUCAUGCACGAAAGCGUGGGGAUCAAACAGG
Molecule: ribosomal RNA, 253 nt
Filed under: uncultured bacterium
Lineage: Bacteria
Description: partial 16S ribosomal RNA
Rfam family: Bacterial small subunit ribosomal RNA
Source: RNAcentral